Molecule: ribosomal RNA, 253 nt
Filed under: uncultured bacterium
Lineage: Bacteria
Description: partial 16S ribosomal RNA
Rfam family: Bacterial small subunit ribosomal RNA
Source: RNAcentral
UACAGAGGGUGCAAGCGUUAAUCGGAAUUACUGGGCGUAAAGCGAGCGUAGUCGGUUAUUUAAGUCGGGUGUGAAAGCCCCGGGCUCAACCUGGGAAUUGCAUUCGAGACUGCGUAGCUAGGGUGCGGAAGGGGGAAGCGGAAUUUCCGGUGUAGCGGUGAAAUGCGUAGAUAUCGGAAGGAACACCAGUGGCGAAAGCGGCUUCCUGGUCCAGCACCGACGUUCAGGCACGAAAGCGUGGGGAGCAAACAGG